Molecule: ribosomal RNA, 33 nt
Filed under: Morchella elata
Lineage: Eukaryota; Fungi; Ascomycota; Pezizomycetes; Pezizales; Morchellaceae
Also listed under: 4 other names
Description: partial 18S ribosomal RNA
Source: RNAcentral
UCCGUAGGUGAACCUGCGGAAGGAUCAUUACCA